GUAGGGAAUCUUCCACAAUGGACGCAAGUCUGAUGGAGCAACGCCGCGUGAGUGAAGAAGGUCUUCGGAUCGUAAAACUCUGUUGUUAGAGAAGAACACGAGUGAGAGUAACUGUUCAUUCGAUGACGGUAUCUAACCAGCAAGUCACGGCUAACUACGUACCAG
Molecule: ribosomal RNA, 165 nt
Filed under: uncultured bacterium
Lineage: Bacteria
Description: partial 16S rRNA
Rfam family: Bacterial small subunit ribosomal RNA
Source: RNAcentral